This 625-nucleotide ribosomal RNA is filed under the name uncultured bacterium. RNAcentral's name for it is "bacterial SSU rRNA". It matches the Rfam family "Bacterial small subunit ribosomal RNA", at positions 104 to 747 of the family's 1533-position model. The record is from RNAcentral.
GGGUGAGUAACGCGUGGGUAACCUGCCUUGUACUGGGGGACAACAGUUGGAAACGACUGCUAAUACCGCAUAAGCGCACAGCUUCGCAUGAAGCAGUGUGAAAAACUCCGGUGGUACAAGAUGGACCCGCGUCUGAUUAGCUGGUUGGUGAGGUAACGGCCCACCAAGGCGACGAUCAGUAGCCGGCCUGAGAGGGUGAACGGCCACAUUGGGACUGAGACACGGCCCAAACUCCUACGGGAGGCAGCAGUGGGGAAUAUUGCACAAUGGGGGAAACCCUGAUGCAGCAACGCCGCGUGAGUGAAGAAGUAUUUCGGUAUGUAAAGCUCUAUCAGCAGGAAAGAAAAUGACGGUACCUGACUAAGAAGCCCCGGCUAACUACGUGCCAGCAGCCGCGGUAAUACGUAGGGGGCAAGCGUUAUCCGGAUUUACUGGGUGUAAAGGGAGCGUAGACGGUUUUGCAAGUCUGAAGUGAAAGCCCGGGGCUUAACCCCGGGACUGCUUUGGAAACUGUAGGACUAGAGUGCAGGAGAGGUAAGUGGAAUUCCUAGUGUAGCGGUGAAAUGCGUAGAUAUUAGGAGGAACACCAGUGGCGAAGGCGGCUUACUGGACUGUAACUGACGUU